AAUCGGUGUGUAACCUUAACUAAGUAUAUACAUACUAAGUGUGUAAUAUAUAUUUAUAAAAUAUAAUAUACUGCUAUAAAAACAUACUAAAUAUAAAUAGAAAAAACUAACUAACAUAACAACAUUCUGAACGAAUGUGAAUGGAAGUGACACUUGACGUGCUUCACAAAAUUCUAUAAUUAGCUAUGGUCAAAGCCCACACAAUGCAAACUAUAAACUAUUUACGAAUUACGUAAUGGCGACGAGUGCUUAUCAACAAUUAUUAUGCAAGGCAUCAUUGUGUUCAAAUUGUGGAAAUGAGUGUCUGAAAUGGUGUUAUGAAAGAAAAAUAAAAUAAAAUAACGAACAUGAAUUUGUGUAAAGGAUACGUAUUAAGUGUGAACGAGUAUGUAGGUCGAUCGUAAUCCUGCUACCAGGAUGGCGUAGACAAAAAUAGAGGAAAUGACAGAGAGAUGAGGAAAAAAAGUUUGACCAGAGCAGAUGCUCCUCCAUACCGAAGAGGAUGAUUCAAAAGCAGCCCACACCGCAGGAAGUGAUCCCCAAACCAAAGCAUGUGUGCCAUGAAACCUAAGGCAUCGAAAUGGGGGAGGGAGAUCAUUCCAGCAGCGCGUAGCUGCAAACUUGAAACAUCCUCUGAAAGCCGUAGUGCGAUGCGUGGGAACGGUCAGCGGACACACUAUGGAGCGAAGACCAUGCUUUAUCUGGCUUUGUUUCCAGGUCAGCUUUUUGAAAAGAUAUUCUGGUGUUUGAGCCCUAACAGUACCAAACAACAGAUUGGCCAAAUGAAGUUUUCUCCUGGCAGCCAUCUUUAAUAAUUUUAGUUCAUUAAUGUAUGGGGUAACAUGACUUCUACGUGGAAUAUUUAUACAAUAACGAACACAGGCAUUUUGAAUACGUUGGAUAACGCGCUCGGUUCUAGAGAGAAGACAUGGACCAUACACUAUAUCACAAUAGUUUAACUUCGAUAGGACGAGGCUGUCAACAAGUUGUUUGCGCAAAGGAAUGCUCAAAUAUUUCCGUAUACCAUAUAAUACCUUUAGCCUAUAAAAACAACUUCCUAGGAUUCUUGUUAUGUGUGACUCGAAGCGUAGCUCCGGGUCCAUAGUCAGGCCCAGAUUGCAUGCUUGCUCAACCCUCUCGAUUCUCUCUCCCAUGAUCACUAUCUCAGGGUUAGCUGACUGAAUAGCUAGAACUUGGUUUCUGGAACCCAGAAUCAUAAAUUUAGAUUUGAGCGGGUUAAGGACCAGUGAGUUCAUCUCCGACCAUACAACCACCCUAUGCAAAUCCUCAUUGAUUUUCUGCACCGCCUCCUAUGUUUCAUCGACCUUGAACGACAAGUACAGCUGUAUAUCGUCAGCGUACAUGUGAUAUUUGCAAUGGGUGAAAGACUUUACAAUAUCCGCACUGUAUAAGAUGUAAAGCAAGGGCCCCAAAAUCGAUCCCUGGGGAACGCCCCUGGACACGCUUAGGGGGGAGGAUGAUACUCUGGACCCAUCCUCUCUUUGCAUCUCUACAAAUUGAAAUCGGCCCGAAAGAUAGCUUUUAAACCACUCCACCGUAUUCUUAUCGAAACCAUAGAAAGCUAACUUUGACAGAAGUAGAGCGGUGUUAAUUGCAUCAAAAGCGCGGGAAAAAUCUAACAGAGCCAAAUUUGUACCCUCCCCCCUGUCACGUGCCUCAAGAAUAUUCCCCACUACGUCGGCCAGAGCCGUUGCAGUACCUCUGCCCUGCCUAAAGCCCGAUUGUAGGUCCGGAAGAAUUUUAUUAGCUUCAAGGUACUCAAUGACCUGCGAGUGCACUACGCGUUCCAGUAUCUUAGAAAGGCAGGGCAGUAUACUGAUUGGCCUUAGGUCCUUUGUGUUAUUUGGGUUGUUAAUUUUAGGGAUCGGUCGCACAAAGGCGCAUCGCCAGAGUUCAGGGAAUGUGUGUGUAAUGAUUGAACAAUUUAUGAUAUCUGUGAUGGCUUGCAAGGUAGUUGGUAAUGUGAGGUUUAUCAUGUCGAGACUGAUGCCAUCAACUCCCUGUGCGUUAGACCCUAGGCUUCUAAUUAUCUUGAGGAUUGCUUCGGAAGUGGUUGCUGUCAAGGUGAAAGUAGCAUCGCUGAACCUAUGCGACUCAAAGAAAUAUGACUGCGAAUCAUUAAGACUACAAUCACCGGGAACAUCUAGAAACGCCGCAUUGAUUUCGUCAGGGUUAUCAAAGUAUUCCGGUAGAAGUCUAUGUUUGUGGUCAGGCAACACAUCUGCUUUUAAAUUGCGCCAUAACAAUUUAGGGUCCCUGAUAUUAUUAUUAAUGCUACUAGCGAAAUAAGCGGUCUUCUCGUUAGCCAGUGCCGUGAUGGCUAGAUGCUUAAGGUCCAGGUAAUUAGUCUUAUGUUCAGGUAGCUUUGAAUUACGAAAUUUGUCCCUGGCCUCAUCUCUCAGCUUCGAUAUUAGUCUGAUGUUAUCAGUGAUCCAUGGAGUGGGACGGGAUCUAAAAGUUCUACAUAUAGUGGGAGCAUGGAGGUCGAACAAUUGAAUAACAAAUGAGUUGAAAGUUUGCACCAUUGAAUCAACAUCUUUCAUGUCACUCACUGUAGACCAAGGUAUACUUUUUAAAUCGCUGUCGAAGUAAUCCUGCAGAAUGUCCUUGAGAGGGCGAUAAACCACUGAUCUAGGUCGGCAUUUAGGUUUCUUGAAGACCGACUCGCAGGUGAUAAAUGCAUGAUGGCUAAGCUCACUUAUAUGAUUCACCUCAACAUUGCGGAUUGGAGCAUCAGUGCAGAUUACGUCAAUGAGCGAGCUACUAUUGCCUAUUAAGUGCGUGGGAGUUGUGACCACUUGAGUCAAGUUGAGAUAACUGAGAAAAUCUGCAAGUUGUCUGGAUUUCGAGUUACUAACGUCCAACAUAUUGACAUUGAAGUCUCCUAAUAGUAUUAGAUUUUAGACAAUGGUCGCGGGAUGUGCUUAAGUUUAUAACCAGGUACACUAGGCGCCCGGUCAUCUUCACCUUUGCGCAACCAGGUUUCGUUGACAGCCAUUAUGUCCACUGAAUGAUUGCCCAUUGCGACCAAAAACUCGUCCUGGUUAGUCCCCAGGGAGCCUGCAUUCAAUAGACCAAACCUAAUACGUUUAUUUGUAAUCAUUUGUAAUCAAAUAGUAACAAUGUUGUAGUAUUGUAGUUGUAAAUGUAAAUAAAAUUUGAAAAAUGUUGUAUAUAAUGUAAAUAUUAUUUGUAUAAAGUUGUAUGUAGUGAGUUGUAGUAUUGUAUUGUUGUUUUAUAAUGUAAAUAUUGUUUAUAUAAAGUGAUGUUGUAUGUAAUGAGUGUGGACAAAUACAUUGAGUAAGGUAUGGUAAUUUAUAUGGGAAGCGUGGAAAAAU
Molecule: long non-coding RNA, 3359 nt
Filed under: Helicoverpa zea (corn earworm)
Lineage: Eukaryota; Metazoa; Arthropoda; Insecta; Lepidoptera; Noctuidae
Description: uncharacterized LOC124635964
Source: RNAcentral